CAAAUAACCAAAAACACAGACUCUGUACACAAGAAAACCAGAGAGGAAAUGGCAAUGACACCUCAAGAUAGAUCAAAGCCACUCCACAACUUCUCAUUGCCUUGCUUGAAAUGGGGUCACCAAAGAGUCCUUAGAUGNUGUCAAAGUUACAGAUGAUCCUCAUCUUCGAUCUUCCUCUUUGAUUCCUAAUGGAUUGCAACCCAAACCCACCAACCUUGACACCCCCAAGAAUCACAAACCAAUCCCAAUCCAAGAGAAUCGCAUUUCCCCUGAUCUUAGAUUCAAUGGGGGUGCUAAGAGAUUGAAAGUCUCUCCUCUUCUUGAAGAAGAGAGGGGCAAUGAUGAUUCUACCAAGCCUUGGAAUUUGAGGACCAGAAGGGCGGCAUGCAAGGCGCCACU
Molecule: unclassified non-coding RNA, 399 nt
Filed under: Hevea brasiliensis (rubber tree)
Lineage: Eukaryota; Viridiplantae; Streptophyta; Magnoliopsida; Malpighiales; Euphorbiaceae
Source: RNAcentral